AUGCAAGUCGAGCGGUAACAGAAAGUAGCUUGCUACUUUGCUGACGAGCGGCGGACGGGUGAGUAAUGCUUGGGAACAUGCCUUGAGGUGGGGGACAACAGUUGGAAACGACUGCUAAUACCGCAUAAUGUCUACGGACCAAAGGGGGCUUCGGCUCUCGCCUUUAGAUUGGCCCAAGUGGGAUUAGCUAGUUGGUGAGGUAAUGGCUCACCAAGGCAACGAUCCCUAGCUGGUUUGAGAGGAUGAUCAGCCACACUGGAACUGAGACACGGUCCAGACUCCUACGGGAGGCAGCAGUGGGGAAUAUUGCACAAUGGGCGAAAGCCUGAUGCAGCCAUGCCGCGUGUGUGAAGAAGGCCUUCGGGUUGUAAAGCACUUUCAGUCAGGAGGAAAGGGUGUGAGUUAAUACCUCACAUCUGUGACGUUACUGACAGAAGAAGCACCGGCUAACUCCGUGCCAGCAGCCGCGGUAAUACGGAGGGUGCGAGCGUUAAUCGGAAUUACUGGGCGUAAAGCGUACGCAGGCGGUUUGUUAAGCGAGAUGUGAAAGCCCCGGGCUCAACCUGGGAACUGCAUUUCGAACUGGCAAACUAGAGUGUGAUAGAGGGUGGUAGAAUUUCAGGUGUAGCGGUGAAAUGCGUAGAGAUCUGAAGGAAUACCGAUGGCGAAGGCAGCCACCUGGGUCAACACUGACGCUCAUGUACGAAAGCGUGGGGAGCAAACGGGAUUAGAUACCCCGGUAGUCCACGCCGUAAACGAUGUAUACUAGAAGCUCGGAACCUCGGUUCUGUUUUCAAAGCUAACGCAUUAAGUAGACC
Molecule: ribosomal RNA, 818 nt
Filed under: Pseudoalteromonadaceae bacterium ACEMC 17-10
Lineage: Bacteria; Pseudomonadati; Pseudomonadota; Gammaproteobacteria; Alteromonadales; Pseudoalteromonadaceae
Description: bacterial SSU rRNA
Rfam family: Bacterial small subunit ribosomal RNA
Source: RNAcentral